AAAAUCGCAAGCAGCAGCCACAGUCGCAGCCGCAGUCGCAAGCAGAGCAGCAAGCAGUUGCAAGGGCGCCGCCUCCGUCGAUUAACCCAUUGGUGCCCCACUGGGUGACCAGCAUGACCGUGUUGCUCGGCAAAUCCCUAGUCGCUGGAAUGGACAACUGAAUUCCCCGGUGUUUUCCCACUCGGACCUAACCUCACUUAUCUUUAUAUAAACUCGUAUACCGCACGUGCUUGGGCAUGGACUAAAAACAAAAAGGAUACUAGGAAACACGCAACAACACUAGGACCUACAAAUAAAAAGAACAAAAAAAAAACACACCCAAACGCAAGAACAACGACUUGAAUAACGGUAGCCCAUUGGUUGGGACUUGAUCCAAACUGGCCCAUCAAUUUUGGUUUUCCUACCCGCCACCGGGCGCUGGCGGCGGUUCCUCAACCAGUUUCAAGCGCAUAAGGAAUAAAGCAUAACAAAUACAAAAAACAAACAAAAAUAAUAUCUGAAGACAUUAAUUGAAAACAUUUAAUAAACAUCCUGAGAUUGAGAUCGUUUCCUCUCUCUCUCUCUGUCUCUCUUUCUCUGUCUAUCUCUCUCUAUCUUGGUCUCUCGCUGUCUCCUUCGCUGUCUCUAUCUCUUUCCCCAAAAAGACACACACAAACACUCCGCACUCACCCAACGGUACUUCCAACGGACUCCAAUUCCAAUCGUUUCGGUACGUGCCGUGAUCGCGUGUUCAAAACUAUCGAAAUUAUUCAAAUAAAAUCGAAUAGAAAAAUAUUGAAAGUAAAUCGACACGAAAAC
Molecule: long non-coding RNA, 798 nt
Organism: Drosophila bipectinata
Lineage: Eukaryota; Metazoa; Arthropoda; Insecta; Diptera; Drosophilidae
Source: RefSeq, a predicted model, not a curated record